UGGGGAAUAUUGCGCAAUGGGCGAAAGCCUGACGCAGCCACGCCGCGUGAGUGAUGAAGGUUUUCGGAUCGUAAAACUCUGUGGAGGGAGAAGAAUAAAGCUAGUGAAGAGCUAGCCUUGACGGUAUCCCUUUAGCAAGCACCGGCUAACUCCGUGCCAGCAGCCGCGGUAAUACGGAGGGUGCUAACGUUGCUCGGAAUCAUUGGGCGUAAAGCGCGCGUAGGCGGUUUGGUAAGUUGGGUGUGAAAGCCCUGGGCUCAACCCAGGAAGUGCACCCAAAACUACCAGACUUGAAUCUCGGAGGGGGCCAGAGAAUUCCCGGUGUAGAGGUGAAAUUCGUAGAUAUCGGGAGGAAUACCAGUGGCGAAGGCGCUGGCCUGGACGAUGAUUGACGCUGAGGUGCGAAAGCGUGGGGAGCGAACAGG
Molecule: ribosomal RNA, 425 nt
Filed under: uncultured bacterium
Lineage: Bacteria
Description: bacterial SSU rRNA
Rfam family: Bacterial small subunit ribosomal RNA
Source: RNAcentral